Molecule: ribosomal RNA, 166 nt
Filed under: Aspergillus sp.
Lineage: Eukaryota; Fungi; Ascomycota; Eurotiomycetes; Eurotiales; Aspergillaceae
Description: partial large subunit ribosomal RNA
Rfam family: Eukaryotic large subunit ribosomal RNA
Source: RNAcentral
CGGCAAAAGCUCAAAUUUGAAAUCUGGCUCCUUCGGGGUCCGAGUUGUAAUUUGCAGAGGAUGCUUUGGGUGUGGCCCCCGUCUAAGUGCCCUGGAACGGGCCGUCAGAGAGGGUGAGAAUCCCGUCUUGGGCGGGGAGUCCAUGCCCGUGUAAAGCUCCUUCGAC